UGCUAUCGGAUUGGUACUAAGCCAUGUGAGUCGUUGUAGCAAUACAAGGCAUACGGCUCAGUAACACGUAGUCAAUCUAACCUAUGGACGGGGAUAACCUCGGGAAACUGAGGAUAAACCCCGAUAGAUCAUUAUGCCUGGAACGGUUUAUGGUCUAAAUGAUUCGUCGCCGUAGGGUGGGACUGCGGCCUAUCAGCUUGUUGGUGAGGUAAUGGCCCACCAAGGCUAUUACAGGUACGGGCUCUGAGAGGAGAAGCCCGGAGAUGGGUACUGAGACACGGACCCAGGCCCUAUGGGGCGCAGCAGGCGAGAAACCUUUGCAAUGUGCGCAAGCACGACAAGGUUAAUCCGAGUGUUUCCUGCUAAAGGAAUCUUUUGUUAGUUGUAAAACCACUGAUGAAUAAGGGGUGGGCAAGUUCUGGUGUCAGCCGCCGCGGUAAAACCAGCACCUCAAGUGGUCAGGAUGAUUAUUGGGCCUAAAGCAUCCGUAGCCUGUUCUAUAAGUUUCCGGUUAAAUCCAUUAGCUCAACUAAUGGGCUGCCGAAAAUACUGUAGAACUAGGGAGUGGGAGAGGUAGACGGUACUCGGUAGGANGGGGUAAAAUCCUUUUGAUCUAUUUGAUGACCACCUGUGGCGAAGGCGGUCUACCAGAACACGUUCGACGGUGAGGGAUGAAAGCUGGGGGGAGCAAACCGGGAUUAGAUACCCGGGUAGUCCCAGCUGUAAACGAUGCAGACUCGGUGAUGCCCUGGCUUGUGGCCAGUGCAGUGCCGCAGGGAAGCCGUUAAGUUUGCCGCCUGGGAAGUACGUACGCAAGUAUGAAACUUAAAGGAAUUGGCGGGGGGAGCAC
Molecule: ribosomal RNA, 850 nt
Filed under: uncultured marine archaeon
Lineage: Archaea
Description: bacterial SSU rRNA
Rfam family: Archaeal small subunit ribosomal RNA
Source: RNAcentral